GGGGCGGGGGCGGAAGAGGGCGCGCUCCCCGCCAGUUUUGUGACGUCACGGGGGUCAGACAAUCCCUUCCAUUUGGCACGGCCUGCCUAUUGGCUCCACGCGUGCGCGCGCCCACGUGGCCACGCCCUGUUGCUGGUGAAGGGGAGGCUUAUGGACAAAGAAGAUGAAGGUGGAUUAGAAUAGAACAGAUACCACAGGUAACUCUCCCAACCAAGAACAAGGCACUGGGCACAAUGCCUGCCAUACAGAAAAACGACGUUGAAUGAACACAGAUGAACGAGUGGAUGGCAGAAGUACAGAAUAAAUGGGAGCUCCAGACUAUGGCGUGUGAAGCAAUAAUCAAGAAUGAAGAAGUUUGUGGCUGAUGUGAUUAGGAAAACAGGUAUGUGCAGGUAUACAUUGUGUGAGUACUCAUGCACGUGUGGACACCAGAGGACAGCCUCAAGUGUUGAACUUCGGAUCCUCCUGCCUUUGCCUCCAAAGUGCUGAGAUUAUAGACAUGGACCACCGUAACUGUUUUGUCCAGUGCUGGGCUGAGCCUAUGACUUUAUGAAUACUGGAUGAGGAAACUCGGUUUCAGAGAAGACAAAUAGCAUCUCUCAUCCCACAGCCCCAGAUUAGAAUCCACCAGCUCUGUGGGUCUGUAGAGCAAUUACAUAAUCUUUUCAACCUGCUCCAAUUUCAUGUCCAACUGGAGAGAUGAAGCUAAGUUACAGAGUACUGAUGAUAAAUUUUAAAAAAGUGUUUUAAAGUUUUAUUUUAACUUUAUGUGUAUGAAUGCUUUCUCUCCAUACAUGUAUGUGCACCAUGCAUGUACAGUGCCUCUGGAGGCCAGAACAGAGCAUCAGGUUCCCUGGAACUGGGGUUACAGAUGGUUGUGAACCACUAUGUGGGUGCUGGGAAAUGAACUCAGGUUCUCAGUAAGACCAGCCAGCACUCUUAACCACUAAGCCAGCUCUCCAGCCCAGUGAUCAUAGAUAUUAGAAGUGGGAAUACUUCUCCACUGGUUGGAGCUUAGUCUGUGUUGAAGAUUGAACUUCCUCAGGACUUCGAAGAAUCUAUGAUAUUUAUAACAACAGCAGUUAAGAGAGAAAGCAUUCCUAGGGCGAGGACCGUACUGGGGUGAAGGGAGAGAAGAGAGUUCACAUGAGCUUUGUGAGGACAGAAACUGGCCCUUCCUAAGUAGAAAGUACCUGUUACGGAACACUAAGCAGCAAGUUCAGGUCAGAAGGUUCCAUGAACUUUAGAUCAAAACUGGAAGUACAAGCUUUUGGAAAGCAGUGGCCUAACACUUGCACCAGGAGGAGGGGUGCACUUGAGGAGGCCUUAUCCCAACUGGAAAUCUUGGACAAGUCAUUCAAACGCACACAUGCAAGGUUUCCUCAUUUGUAAAGAGGGAUAUUAAUAUCUACUCAGCACGACUGUUGUAAGAAUCUGUGAUAAUAGGUGAAUACAGUGUUUGUCCCAGGCCUGGCUCAUAACCGCUACUCGGCACGACUGUUGUAAGAAUCUGUGAUAAUAGGUGAAUACAGUGUUUGUCCCAGGCCUGGCUCAUGACCGCUCAGUCACACUCUCAGUUGCUGUUGCCGUCAUCAGCAGGGAAGCAUGGUGCUUCCUGGUCUCAAAAGUAUUGACCCAGAGUGCCAUCCGAGGAAAACUUGACAACAGAAGUCAGUCUGGAGUAUAGUGGUGACGUCAGUGGCAAAGUGGAUUUAGACGGGGCUUCAUAAUUACUGGGAAGUGAGAUUGUCAGCAGGGACCUCGAGAUGGUAGAAAAGGCUGGAAAAAGUGAGGAGCUAGCACCUCUCCAGACCAUGGGAACAAAGCCUGAAAGAGAGGAAAAGUCCAGGACAAUUUCACAUUCCCAACAAGACAGAGGAGGAGGAGUGUGUCCACGGAACCAGGAACCAAAACUGAGGCAGGGGAGCUGAUGGUCCGGGAGAUGGGGUGGACAUCACAAGGAGGUUGUCAUAAUCCGUUCCAGAAUGUUGACUUUGACGUGAUGAUGGGACAUUGAAAGAGCAAAGAGCAUUGUGCUUCUACACGCAGAGUGGGCAGCUGAUACCAGAGACUCUGAGGGGACUCGGUAUGCCUGAGAGAUAGAGCACAGGAAGCAUAGGACGGACCUACAUGAACGGAGAGCAGCACUCUUCAUGCUAAACAUCUCAUUGCUUAAAUAACAGAAAACCAGGGUGACUGUUUCUUUUGCGGGGAAGUCACAGAGACCUAGAUACCACAGAACAUUUACUUAGGCCACAGGAUUGCUCUACGAGAAGAAGUGCCAAGUGGCCUGUGCUUCUGAACGAGGAAGAGAGGGGGCUCUUACGGAAAGCUGUGUUUUUCCUGUGCUGGGGAGUAUUGAUAUUUGUCUGCAUAUUCCUCACGUGUUAGCAGGAUGAUGAGACAUUAAUCCAGCACUGAUUCUCAUGCUAGGAUGCUAACUUCAGUGAAUAUUUGUCUGGAAAUUCUCUGCACACUUCCUGGUUGCUAGGCUACACAUCAGAACUACUGCAUUAUAAAUUUCUUCAAGUGCUUCUUUGUAUCCACUACUACUUUAACCGUGUUCCAUCAUUUUCUAAACGACAAAAUGGAAUUCACUGAGUUUAGCCACGGUCACAUGGUUUUAACCUCUUAGUUUUAUUAAUAUGUGCAUGCUCAUGCUUGCUUGAGUAUGUGUGUGCGUGCAUGUGCGUAUGUGUGUGUACACAUGCACUCCUGCACUGGUGCUCAGGCUUGCAUGCCACAAUGUAUAUGUAAAGAUCAGAGAACAACUUGUGGAAAUUGAUUCUCUUCCUCUGCCGUCUGGAUUCCAGGGAUGAAACUCAAACCAUCAGCAGGCGGCAAGCACCUUUGCCAGCUGAGCCAGGCCUAUAGCUGUUUGGGCUUUUCGGAUCAAAUUCUGUCUCAGUAAAAAUUACCCAACCCAAGACUUAGUCUUAAAGAGAAGUUUUUCUUUUGCUUUUGAAUUGUGUCUGAUUGUUUCUAUGUAAAUCACAGUGUUGAUCAUUUCUCUAAGAUCUUAGAACACCCGACUGUAGUCCAUUUCUUAUCUGAAUGAAAUGGCAUGCAUCACUAGUUGAAUUCUUGAAGUGAGGCUCAUCGCUAUUCUGAGUUAAAGCAGAUUGUAAUGAAAGUGAUUGCAUUUUCUAUAAGCUCUGAAGCGGCUCUGAAGGCGCCUUCCAGCAAGAAGGCGGUCUCAGGACCACACUGGGCUAUUUGAAUAUCAAAAUUCAAAUUAGAAAUGUUCACACCACUAGCUUUUCUGUUUGAUGAAAGUUGAAUUAUCAUGAGCUAGCAACCUAGGUGAGAUCGAACAGAUGGAAGAUGUUUUGAUUUUUAUUUAUAGACUUUGAAUAAUGCAUUUGAGAUUUGCAGAUGGUGCUCCUCGUAUAUGCUGCUCUCUGACUCUGACACUGUCCAUCACAGAAACCCUGUCAUGUGUUUAUUUAGCUCUUCUGCUGCUACAUUGUUGGUUAUAUAAGGAAGAGACCAUAUCUGCCCUGCUCAGAUCCUCAGUACGGUGCCUGGGUCAAUUGUAAUGAUCAUGCAACACAUAUUUGACUAUCUAAAUCAGGGAGCGAUGAUAAUUGGCUCUUUCAUGUGACUAGUCACACAGAAUUCUCAGACAUGUUUCUUGAAUAUGUCAGUGUAAUCAUCGGCAUCACCUAUUAGAAUCAAAGACACCUAGAGCCAUAAAGCCUCUUUGAGUCGUUUGGUGGCAGCGAUUCUCAACUUCAGAUGCACACAGGAAUUGCCUAGGAAUGAUGCAAAGAGUUCACCUGAGUCCAAUCCCCAGACACCAUGGUACAGCUGGUGUGGGUUGUGUUCUAAACUCUGAAAGUCAUAAACUUUCCCCAGGCAUUUACAACACAGAGCCAAAGCUGAGUUGUCCUGAUCAAUCAUAAUAUUUUCCUUUUGGGGAAAAAGUUGAGGCCCAAAGAAUUUAAGUAAUUAGCUUUUCAGUGAGCUGUGGCAAAGGAGAAAACCUAGGUGCACUGGUUCUGAAGCCACUGUGCUUUCUGCUGUACCCGAGUUUCUCAGAUUGGCUCAUUCCAAGUCACUUGCUCUUUUUAAAAGUAUAUAUUUAUUAUAUACAUAUUUCAAAAUAUGUAUAACUGUGGAAUGGAUGAAUUGAGAGAAUUAACAAAUGCAUCACCUUCACACCUAUAAUUUUUGUCACAAGAAGACUAAACAUCUGCUCUUAGCAUGUUUAAUUUCGUGUGUGUGUGUGUGUGUGUGUGUGUGUGUGUGUGUGUGUGUGUGUGUGUCUGUGUCUGUGAGACCAUAGACUCAAGGCAAUUAUAAACAAAAGAUCUAUUGAUUAGCUGAUAGCAGGAUGAACAAUAUCUGAGCCACAUUUGAGAUUGCCAUGUAGGAGGGGUGUGGGGAAGGACUUUUAAAGGGGAAAACCACAAGAAGAUCUUCAAUAUCUACGCAAGAAAGCAAAAACUAUUCUGUUCUGCCAAGUGAAGUGGAUAAGGCAACUCAAAACAAUCUUUGGGUAUCUGUGUAAGCAAGUUACAGAAGCAAAAAAGGCAGUUAAUUAUAGCAUAACAAGUAGAUAGUCACGGCUGUACAUUUUUGGGUUGGGGUCACUGAGUUAGGUUUACUGGGAACUUAUCUUCUAGGGACUGGACUCAGAGACAAAUGGCUGGUGGGUACCAAGAUGGAUGCCUGGCAUAAAAUGGAGCUUCUUUAGCCAUAACGAGGACCCAACAUACACUUUUCAUAUGGCUGUAUUAAUUGAAGUUCUUGUCAACAGUGCAGGUGGUACUUCUCUCCACAUCCUCAUGACACUUGUUACCUUGUCCAUUCGAUAAGAGCUGUUUUAAUGUUUGUAAAGUGGUAUCUCAUUGUAGUUUGGAUUCUCCUGUCUUUGAUGAUGAAUGUUUUCUCACUGACCUUCUUUCUGGUCAGGUCUUCUUUUUGAGAAAUGUCUAUGUAGGUCUUGGUCCAUUUUCUAAUCAGGCUUACUAUGGAGUUGAGCUUCUUGUCUAUUUGGCUGCUCACCACUCACCAGAUGUAUGGUCUGUAGGUAUUUUUGCUGAUUCCGUGGGCUGUAUCUUCAUUCCCUUGAUUGCUUCCUUGGCUGUGUCUAAGACUUUGAGCUCCAGCAAUCUCACUUACAAUUCAUUUUUGCUUUGGUGGCCUGUUCUUUGGGAUUUGGAUUAAAAAACAGAAAGGAAUAAUUGCCCACAUCACUAUAGUUUUCCCUAUAUUUUCUAUUAUUAGCCUUAAAGUUUAAAGCUCUAAUAUCAAUAUUGAGUUCAUUUUUAUGUGAUAUACAGUAAGGGCCUUAAUUUCUUUGUUCUGCAUGUGGAUAUUCACUUGUCUCAAAUUGUUGAGUGAUAAGAAUAUCUUCUUGCUUCAGAAAAGAUCAAAUGACUGUGGAAGCUCCUGUUUGUUACUGGGUGUUCUGGUCUGCUCCAUUGGUCAAUGUGCUGGUUUUUAAUCUGGUACCAUGCUGUUUUGACUACUGUAGCUUUAAAGGUGGGUAGUCUGACACUUCUAGUUUUCUUCUUUUAACAAAAGUUUGCCGGGAGGUGAUGGCACACACCUUUAAUCCCAGCACUUGGGAGUCAGAAGCAGGUAGAUAUGAGUUCAAGGCCAGCCUGGUCUCCAGAGCGAGUUCCAGGACAGCCAGGGGUACACAGAGAAAACCUGUCUUGAAAAACCAAAAAAAAAAAAAAAAUGUUUUUUUAUUAUUUUAAAUUGUGUGUGUGUGUGUGUGUGUGUGUGUGUGUGUGUGUGUGUGUGUGUGUGUUUGAAGGUAUGUGCACACAAAUGCAGAUGCCUUCUGAGACUCUAGGCAUUAGGUCCCCUGGAGCUAGAGCCAUAGACAGUUGUGAGAUUCGUAGUGUGGGUGCUGCUAACUGAACUCUGGUCCUCUGGAAGAGUAGUAACCUGUGCCAUCUCUCCAGGCCUCAUUAUUGAAUUUACUAAUGUUUUCUUACUGAGUUUGUAUCUAGCACCAUCAGAGAUGCUGGUAUUUAAUUUUCUUUUCCUAUAUACAAUCCUCUUGUUUGGCUUUGCUAUUUAGGGAGAUUUUGGACUCCUAAAAUUGGUACUUCUUCAAUUUUGUGGGGAAACCUGUAGAAAAUUUUUAGUAUUUUAAAGUGGAAUUAAGAGUUGGUUACUUAAAAAAAUAAAAAUCAACAAACCUUUAUCUAUACUAAUUAAGAAAUUGAAAGAGAAAGCUCAAGUUUAUAAAAUUUAAAAACGAGACAUUACACUGGUACCAGAGAAAUACAAAGGAUCCUGGAGGCCACCAUGAACCAUUAUAUACCAAGAAAUUAGAAAACCUAAAAGAAAAUAAUGUACCCUGGUCUUAUACAGCCUGCUAAGACUGAAUCACAACAAAGUGUACAGGGUAAUCUGGACAGACUAAUAAUGGACAAAGAGUUUGAAUCAAUAAUAUCUUCGUUAAAAGAAAAACCCAGAGCCUGAUGCCUCCACUGUGGAAGUCUACAGAUCCCUUCACUUACUCUGAUAUUUCAUAUUUGCCUUUAAAUAGAAUCCCAUUUUAGCAAGAACAUUUAAAGAAAAUCUUAUAUCAUUUGGUAACUAGAAAAUUUAUUUCGCUUACUACACACAAACUGGGAAAAAGGAAAAUAAAAUAUCAUUAAGUUCUGGUAAUAAAAUUACCCAUUGAAGACUUGUGAUCUGAAGUAUUUUUUUCUUUUCUUUUCCAAAACUGUAAGAACAGGAAUAAACAUAUUGCUGUGGCUAGUUUGAGGCAUUCUCCUGUCUAAGACAUCGGAAAGAGAAUUGAAACUGAGUGCUAGAUCUAGAUGAAUCACAUAGUACACUCUGAAAGAACUGGUUCAUUCUUUUAUUGAUUAAUAAUUCGACCCACUGAUCUCAGGUACUGUGAUGGUGUGCAUACUCUGGAUAGUGCUGUGCACUGAUCUCAGGUACUGUGAUGGUGUGCAUACUCUGGAUAGUGCUGUGCAUGUAUAUAGUUGGAGGCAAACGGCAAACGGGUUGCACUGCUGUACCUUCAGUGGGCAUUUGAUCAGAAUGGCUCAAGAUCAAAAUAUAAACUCCUGAUGGCAGAAUGCUGGCAGAAGACUUCUGGAUAAAGCCUGAUGUUUUGGUGCACAACAGCCAUCCCAGUACUUGGGUGGGGGAGGGAGAAGGAUUUCAUGUUUGAAGCUGGCCUGGUCAACAUAGUGAGACUCCAUCUCAAAAAACUAAAAUCAACCAGCCCAACAAAGAAUGGAGCAUAUUUUUUUAUGUGCCCUAAAGGGGGGAAAAAGCCCACCAAGAAUUCUAUCUUUCACCCUCCCUCUUUCUCCCUCUCUGUCCUGAGUGUGUGUGUGUGUGUGUGUGUGUGUGUGUGUGUGUGUGUGUGUGUGUGUGUGUUUCUGGGGAUUUGACACAGGGUAUCGCAGCCUACCACUGACAUGAUAGUCCCAGCCCCAUUGAGUUACAUCUCCAGCCCUUCUUUUAUUUUUUUACCUACUUUUAUUGGGCAGCUGGGAUUGCAGGCCUGUGUUACCAACCACCACCAAGCUUAUCUGAGAACUUCUUUUAUUGAAUGUAAAGCUCUUCAAAUUAUUAAGGAAUCAAAUCAGAUGCAGGCCACAGAUGAAUACUGUCUAAGUAACGGGUUCUUCUGUUCAGUCAGAAAAGGGUGGAAUGAGGUCGGAAGAGGAGAAUGGAUGACCCUAUUCCGACCCUCAGCUAAGAUAAAUUGAUUAGGCCAUGUUUUCUAAGGCACAUUUUUAUUUUCUGAGGAAACUUUUUUUUCCUUAUCAGAUACCCCUCAGGGGUAUGAACCAAUGGCAUAUGAUAGACCCUAAGGCUGAUGGGAAAUGCUGCAAGGAGAAUUCCAAUUGAGAACACAUUUGCUGGAUCAAUCGAUCCUUAUUUACAUUCUCCAUAGGAUGCAAAUUCACUGGCCCUUAUUCUACUUCUUCUGUGAGGGAUGAAACCUCUUUGUCUGCUUGUCCUGCUCUAAAGUUGUCUAAUAGACACCAGCCCAGUGACCUGGCUUGUCUGUAGAAAGCCAGCUGAGAUCUGUGGCUCUGUUUCGAAGCGUGUGAUAAUACAAUCACUUUCCUUUCAACACACUGGCGAGGAGCUCUCCCCUGCCAGGAACUGAACGCUUUAAUUCUCUGAUUCAUCAAAGCCUUUCCCUAUACAUGGUGUCAAAUAACCUUUCUUUUCAGGAGGUCUAAUCCAGUAGCCUCCCAGACCUCAGGAUGAAACCAGGCGGCAUGGACACGGUGUGCAAGAAGAACAAAGGAGAAACAAUUCAAAGCUGAGCCGCACAUUACAUAACGCCUUGUGUUGGAAAAUCCAUGACCCAUAAAACACUUACCUACUCUGUGGGCUUUAAAUAAAGCAGAGUGGUAUGCUUUUUCUACAGUCAUCUUUCUGUCAGAAUUCCAAUUAUUCUAUGACUCAGUGGGUAUGUGUCUAGCUUUUUAAAAACUCAAUUUUUUAUUAUUUUGGAUAAGAAUGAAGAAGUUUUCAUAUGAAGUUUGCAAAGGAAAAGUUUAUUUAACAAUGAGCUGCUGCAUCAAACACGUACACAUUUUAGUUCAUGUUUGAAAGAACAUGUUUUAAGUGAUGCUUUAAGAAUUGAGGCUUACCCUUAUGAGAGGAACAUUGUCUUUGGUCUCGCUAUCUGAAUGUGCAGCAAUUCAUUCCUGUCUAGAAACUGACUGAAAUCCGUGGCAAGGAUGGGGGUACCCAAGCAACCUUGGUUGGGCGUUGGGAUACAGACCACCAAAUAAGAAGACUAAUCAAUGAACACACACAAGAGAGGCAUUCCCCCCGCCCCCCGUUUUCACAAACCUUGUCUAUAGGCCCUUUUGGCUUCCAUCUACAGCACAGCCUGGCUAGCUGUUCACUUUGUAGACUUCGACCAUCCCCUGAGCACUCAGCUAGACCAUCUUUCUCACAACCCUUGCACACUGGGGUAGCCUGCGACUUGUUCUACCAGUGGGGUAUGCUCCAAAUGAGGCAUUCACCUUCCUCUGACCCAAUAAAAGUUCUGUGUGUCUUUCACCCCACCCUGCUCACUGGGUGGCACAGGAUCCAAAUAGUCCUCUAAAGGGAGUUGAAGUCACAGAACAAGUGGCCACAUACCAAUCAUUCAUAUGCAUGUGACUGUGAACUUGGAGAAAGUGAGAAAUAAAAUUUUGUUAUCUUAAAUCAC
Molecule: long non-coding RNA, 9169 nt
Organism: Peromyscus californicus insignis
Lineage: Eukaryota; Metazoa; Chordata; Mammalia; Rodentia; Cricetidae
Exons: 6
Source: RefSeq, a predicted model, not a curated record